AUGAUCUGGAAGAGGCGCCUCAGGUACCGCUGUGGAGAGGGAGGAGUCAGGGUGUCAGAGGGAGGAGUCACAGCAUUAGAGGGAGGAGUCACAGCGUCAGAGGGAGGAGUCAGAGCGUCAGAGGAGGAGGGGCCAAAGCCUCAGAGGAGAAGUCACAACAUCAGAGGGAGGAGUCACAGCGUCAGAGGGAGGAGUCAGAGUGUCAGAGGAGGAGGGGCCAAAGCCUCAGAGGAGAAGUCACAACAUCAGAGGGAGGAGUCAGAGCGUCAAAGGAGGAGUCAGAGCGUCAGAGGAGGAGUCAGAGUGUCAGAGGAGGAGUCAGAGCGUCAGAGGAGGAGGGGCCAAAGCAUCAGAGGGAGGAGUCAGGGCGUCAGAGGAGGAGGGGCCAAAGCAUCAGAGGGAGGAGUCAGAGCGUCAAAGACGGAGUCAGAGCGUCAGAGGAGGAGUCAGAGUGUCAGAGGAGGAGGGGCCAAAGCAUCAGAGGGAGGAGUCAGAGCGUCAGAGGAGGAGGGGCCAAAGCAUCAGAGGGAGGAGUCAGAGCGUCAGAGGAGGAGUCAGAGUGUCAGAGGAGGAGGGGCCAAAGCAUCAGAGGAGAAGUCACAACAUCAGAGGGAGGAGUCAGAGCGUCAGAGGGAGGAGUCAAAGCAUCAGGGGAGGAGUCAGAGCGUCAGAGGAGGAGGGGCCAAAGCAUCAGAGGGAGGAGUCAGGGCAUCAGAGGAGGAGCCAGAGUGUCAGAGGAGGAGUCAGAGUGUCAGAGGAGGAGGGGCCAAAGCAUCAGAGGGAGGAGUCACAGCAUCAGAGGGAGGAGUCAGAGCGUCAGAGGAGGAGUCAGAGUGUCAGAGGAGGAGGGGCCAAAGCAUCAGAGGGAGGAGUCAGAGCGUCAGAGGAGGAGGGGCCAAAGCAUCAGAGGGAGGAGUCAGAGCGUCAAAGGAGGAGUCAGAGCGUCAGAGGGAGGAGUCAAACAUGUUCCUCCUCCUGAGGAUGGGAGUAGGAGCAGCAUGCAGGAGUCAUGCUGAUACUCCUUCAGCAGCUCCCACCUCCAGCAGGCUCCGCCGCUCCGCCACCAGUCGUUCGUCUCGGUUCCCAAACAGCAUCUUGGGCGGGAACUCCAGGACCGCCAGCUGGAGGAGAGAAGGUGACCGGGUUUAG
Molecule: long non-coding RNA, 1149 nt
Filed under: Oryzias javanicus (javanese ricefish)
Lineage: Eukaryota; Metazoa; Chordata; Actinopteri; Beloniformes; Adrianichthyidae
Description: lncRNA (ENSOJAG00000005244.1)
Source: RNAcentral